UAGGGAAUCUUCGGCAAUGGGGGGAACCCUGACCGAGCAACGCCGCGUGAGUGAAGAAGGUUUUCGGAUCGUAAAGCUCUGUUGUUAAGGAAGAACGAGUGUGAGAAUGGAAAGUUCAUACUGUGACGGUACUUAACCAGAAAGGGACGGCUAACUACGUGCCAGCAGCCGCGGUAAUACGUAGGUCCCGAGCGUUGUCCGGAUUUAUUGGGCGUAAAGCGAGCGCAGGCGGUUAGAUAAGUCUGAAGUUAAAGGCAGUGGCUCAACCAUUGUAGGCUUUGGAAACUGUUUAACUUGAGUGCAGAAGGGGAGAGUGGAAUUCCAUGUGUAGCGGUGAAAUGCGUAGAUAAAUGGAGGAACACCGGUGGCGAAAGCGGCUCUCUGGUCUGUAACUGACGCUGAGGCUCGAAAGCGUGGGGAGCGAACAGG
This 429-nucleotide ribosomal RNA is filed under the name Bacteroidota bacterium. RNAcentral describes it as "Bacteroidetes bacterium partial 16S ribosomal RNA". It matches the Rfam family "Bacterial small subunit ribosomal RNA", at positions 355 to 776 of the family's 1533-position model. The record is from RNAcentral. Lineage: Bacteria; Pseudomonadati; Bacteroidota.